ACCAGGCGUGAUGGCGCACACCUGUAAUCCCAGCACCUUGGGAGGCCGAGGCAGGAGCAUUGCAGGUUCAAGGCCAGCCUGGGCAACUUAGCGAGAUCCUGCCUCAA
Molecule: small RNA, 107 nt
Filed under: Marmota monax (woodchuck)
Lineage: Eukaryota; Metazoa; Chordata; Mammalia; Rodentia; Sciuridae
Source: RNAcentral